CAGGCUGUGCCAGUGGGAAGCAGGCUCCUCUGCUGGCCAAGGGAUGGGCUGACGUGAGGCUGGAGGAAUGCACCCCCCCACCCCAUGUUGUCCUCGAGUGGUUUCCUCCCUGCCCUCACAGGGUUGGCAGGGAGGUGCUGGGUCACCUUCAGAACACAGGCCCAGCAGAGGAAGACCUUCUCCAUGAAAGGCCUUAGCAGAAACCAGCCCGGCCAGCACCUGGAUCUCAGACUUCCAGCAUCCAGAACUGAGAAAUAAAUGUCGUUUAAGCCA
This is a long non-coding RNA of Camelus dromedarius (Arabian camel), 273 nucleotides long. RefSeq lists it as uncharacterized. The record is from RefSeq and is a predicted model, not a curated record. Lineage: Eukaryota; Metazoa; Chordata; Mammalia; Artiodactyla; Camelidae. The transcript is spliced from 2 exons.